Sphaeramia orbicularis (orbiculate cardinalfish) is the source of this 1985-nucleotide long non-coding RNA. RefSeq lists it as uncharacterized. NCBI's taxonomy places the organism in Eukaryota, Metazoa, Chordata, Actinopteri, Kurtiformes, Apogonidae. The record is from RefSeq and is a predicted model, not a curated record. The transcript is spliced from 2 exons.
GCCGCAGGGGUCUGCCAGGACCGUCCCUCCCAGGAAGACACGAACCGACGCCGCCUCCUGCUCCUCCUGACCCGCGGUUCAGGGCCGUCCUGGGUUACAACAGUCCGGGUCUUCUUCGGGUCUCCGCCGGACCCCGCCUCAUCACUCAUUUUUAUUCCGCGUGCGGUUUAGCAGGUUCCUCACGCGGACCCUCCACUAGUGUUUGGCUUUAGCUUUAGCUAAAACUGGAACCGUUAAGGUUUGUGUCGAGGCUCGCGCACGUUCCGCUGCUCGUUUAGAUGUAGAGUGAAGAAAAAAAAAAAAAAAAAACAACCUCCGCACACAUUUGUGUUCAGACGUGACUGGGCACCGAGGACGGGGAGAGCCGAUAGAUGCCCGAAAUAAGCAGCAGCAGCAGCAGCAGCGGCGGUGACGGCGGAGAACAGGACCGAACAGGACCGGCUGUUGGAAGCAUCUGGGAAAUACAAGUGGAGCAGCAGGAAGGUUUUCCGCGGCGCUGAAAGCCAGACAUCGAGCCCAGACGCGAUCCCUCAAGCGGCACAAAUGAUCGCCACGGAAACGCCGUAAUAACUCCAACCUGGACGGAUGUUUGUGCCUUAAAGGUUCUGGUUUAGAGCUGGAUAAAGCAGCCAGAUCAGAGCAGGAUAAAGGUAGUGCUAUCACUAAGUGUUUCCAGGCCGCCAGAUGAACAUGAACGAGGCAGAGCGCUGGCAUAAAGUGGGCACUGCCGGGGUCCUACCCUCAGAUUACAGUUUAACAGAUUAGAGGCGAGGCAGCAGUCACCUCCACAACGCCAAGCCCAUGAAACUUCUGCCUCUGGCCAAUGGGCUAUAACACACACCAAAAAACACACGUAUACACACACCGGCACAGCUGUAGGACACAAUUAAAUUAGUGCGACUGGCAGACGGUGUGCAACCCAAGCUUACACUGUACACAUUAAAUCACCAGGACAAAGGCGCAUAUACACACACACACACACACACACAAUUAUUGGGCUGCUGGACAGAUGCUGCCCCCACCCUCCCACCCAUAGUCCUCUUAAAGCCAGCUGGAGAGAAGAUGGGAUUUGGGGCUGAUUGGUUUUGUCUUUUUUUUUCCCCCCAAUGCAUCCCCUGUGCACCGCUGUUGCCUUUCCCUAGUGCACGACAACAUCAGCCAGUUCGCUUCUAGAGCUCCGAUUUGCUUUUCCUUUCCCGAAACUUCAUCUGCUCAAGCAAGAUUUUCCCCCUUUAACCACUAUGAAGAUUCAGGAAAGUCCUUAAAGUUUGCAAGGGACAAAAGCAGCAAAGAGGGCAGUGCUUUACCGCUAUUCACCGAAUAGCUCUCAGUUCCCGAAGCAGACAGUGUGCUGAAAAGGGGGGGAAAAAAAAGAAAAGAAAGAAGGGACCUUGAUACGAAGUGAAGGAAAGGAGACGAACUGGACGAGGUGAAGUGAACACCAGGAAUAGGAGAUUAAAAGCAAGGGAAAAACAGAAACAAAGAGCGGGGAGAGGUUUUUUUUUCCCCAUUUGGGAUGGCUAUAGACUUGAUGGAACACCCUUGGAGCCAGACCUCCUCCUUAUCCUCCCUCCCCGUGCUCCUCCCUCUCUCCGACUCUCUCAACUAGUCCGCCAGCUUUUCUUCAGCUACGUCGCUUCAGUGCAACGAGAGACAGCAAGAGAGAGAGAGAGAGAGAGAGAGAGUGGGGAGGAAAAAAAGCAGAGCACCAGAGCCGAGCCCGACAUUUAUACAGAUGGCACCGAAAACGAGAAGGACCUGCUGCAUCCAUCAGCAGCGCCUCGCUGAGCGCUGGAUUUCAUGAAAAAUGGACGUUGCAGUUAGUACAGAAAGAGAACAAGAGAGAGGAGAGAGGUGGACUGUGGCAGCCUGAGAAAGGGAAGUUGGAAAGUAGGAAAAAAAAAGAGGAAACAAAGGAUUUAAAAAAAAAAAAAAGAAAAAGAAAAAAAGAGUCUUGGCUUAAGGGGAGAUCACUACGAAAGCAC